CUCAGUCUUGAGAAGCCUAGGAGAGAGGGCUGGUCAAGACUUUCUCCUUUUCCUCUCCUGGUGAUAGGACAUCUUUCCCCCUACCAAUUCCCAAAUGAAGAGACAGCUGAAGAAGACAUUGAGCCUCUGUCAAACUUAUCUCACAGCUCCUGGUGCCUGGGUCUGAACUGUGCCAGUUGGGCCAAGACCAGGAUGCUUUACUUGGUUUCAGUUCCUGAAAAGAGCAACUUCCUCAAGAAUUAUCUCAUCCCCUGAAAUCUUAUCUUGGUGAUAAAUCAGCUUUGAUACUCAACACCUUCUCCAUACCCUCAAAUUGCCUUUCCCCUCCUAUUGGAGAGCUGGAGGUCAGGACAAUGAAGUCAUCCCAAGGCCUCCUUUAUAAAGGUCUCAGAUUCACCCCCGACUUCAUUUACUAAGUGC
This 420-nucleotide long non-coding RNA is filed under the name Monodelphis domestica (gray short-tailed opossum). RNAcentral describes it as "lncRNA (ENSMODG00000050286.1)". The record is from RNAcentral. Lineage: Eukaryota; Metazoa; Chordata; Mammalia; Didelphimorphia; Didelphidae.